Molecule: small nucleolar RNA, 135 nt
Organism: Mus pahari (shrew mouse)
Lineage: Eukaryota; Metazoa; Chordata; Mammalia; Rodentia; Muridae
Product: small nucleolar RNA SNORA44
Exons: 1
Source: RefSeq, a predicted model, not a curated record
GUGUAUCUUUUUAUACUAUUUUGAUUUACUUUAAAAGUUAUUAUGUAUCUCCAACUGCAUGCCAGAGUAAUGGAGAGAUUCUGACAGCCCACGUCAGCACAGUGCCUGCAGCUGCCACUCAUCGUUCAUUUAUAU